Molecule: ribosomal RNA, 737 nt
Filed under: uncultured bacterium
Lineage: Bacteria
Description: bacterial SSU rRNA
Rfam family: Bacterial small subunit ribosomal RNA
Source: RNAcentral
AGAGAUGAUGCUCGUGUGUACAUAUAUACACAAACGAGUGUAUUAGAUUCCUUGUGACAUCCCACUCGAUAACCGAUAAUACUACGUUGCUGUUUUGGGUUCCAGUGACCAAGCGAAAGCGAUAAGUUAUCCCACCUUGGGGGAGUACGACCCGCAAGGUUGAAAACUCAAAGGAAUUGACGGGGCCCGCACAAGCGGAGAACAUGUGGUUUAAUUCGAUGAUACGCGAGGAACUUACCCGGGCUCGAACGGCAGAUGAACAAUCCAGAGAUGGUGCGGCCCUUUCGGGGCAUCUGUCGAGGUGCUGCAUGGUUGUCGUCAGCUCGUGCCGUGAGGUGUCGGCUUAAGUGCCAUAACGAGCGCAACCCUUGCCGUCAGUUACCAGCACGUGGAGGUGGGGACUCUGGCGGGACUGCCACCGCAAGGUGUGAGGAAGGGGGGGAUGACGUCAAAUCAGCACGGCCCUUACGUCCGGGGCGACACACGUGUUACAAUGGGAGUUACAGAGGGGCACUACCUGGUGACAGGAUGGGAAUCUCGAAAAGCUCUCUCAGUCCGGAUCGGAGUCUGCAACCCGACUCCGUGAAGCUGGAUUCGCUAGUAAUCGCGCAUCAGCCAUGGCGCGGUGAAUACGUUCCCGGGCCUUGUACACACCGCCCGUCAAGCCAUGAAAGUCUGGGGCGCCUGAAGUUCGUGACCGUAAGGAGCGACCUAGGGCGAAACAGGUAAUUGGGGCU